Rhea pennata is the source of this 322-nucleotide long non-coding RNA. RefSeq lists it as uncharacterized. The transcript is spliced from 3 exons. The record is from RefSeq and is a predicted model, not a curated record. NCBI's taxonomy places the organism in Eukaryota, Metazoa, Chordata, Aves, Rheiformes, Rheidae.
CCGGCGGCGCCGCGCCGCCACCUCCCCGCGCCCCCUCCCCCGCCGCCGCUGAUUGGGUCGGGGCGGCGUGGCGUCACCAGCGCGGAGUGCUGGCGGCGGUGAUGUCACAGUGGCCGGCCGUAACAGAAGUGAUUUUGCUGGGAUAACAUAGAGGUCAUGGUGUGGUUCCUGUCAGUAUUGGAAUGGGUGAGGACAGAUCAAUCUAUACAGCUGUCAAACUACAUAACCUAAUGCCUUCCAAUCCACUUCAAAGCAAAACAGGCAGAAAAACAGCCAGCCAAACAAUUGCUUUAAAGUCAAAGCACUGUGACAACAGGAACAU